Odocoileus virginianus texanus is the source of this 2058-nucleotide non-coding RNA. Lineage: Eukaryota; Metazoa; Chordata; Mammalia; Artiodactyla; Cervidae. The record is from RefSeq and is a predicted model, not a curated record.
UUGUAGGCACAAAUUAUAUCCUAUUCAUCUUGUGUUCCCCAUAGUGAAAAGGACAGUACCAUGAAGUGGAAAUGAAUAGGUAUUUCCUGACUGAAGAAAUAAUGAAUUAGUAUACUGAAAUACUGAUUAAAUAUAUGGAAAGAAUUAGGAGAAAGUUCUCUAGGAGAAUAGUGCAAAGUUGUAUAUUUAGAGUUGACUUUUAUUUUUUUGACUGUGCAUGUGGCAUCUUAGUUCCCUGACCAGGGAUCAAACCCAUGCUCCCUGCAAGGGAAGCAUGGAGUCUUAAGCACUGGACCACCAGGGAAGUCCCCCGGGUUGACCUUGUCUAGUCUAUUUUAAAUACCAUUGGCUUAGAUAAAAAGUUGUGGAGUCAUUUAUCUUAAUUUGCAUGUAACAAGUGCACAACUAAUAUGAUAGAAUGAGAAUGUUUUUCCACUCCUGGUAGUUGUCUUGGAAGGUGGAAACUCAGAAGAGGUGUCCUGGGGGACUCUUCAAGUGAGAAUUUGUUACUAUUUAGUACAUAAUUUCCAAGGGAACAGAAGCAAGUCAGGAAACAGGAGCUAGAAGUAACUCAUCAACCACCACCUGGAAUGAAUGGGUCAUUCCAGGGCCAGAAAGGGGAGAUGAUCAAGGGUUUGUAGAAGAGCACAGGACAUUUAGAACUGAGGACAAGAGCACAGAGCAUUCCCUUGGAUACAAGUUAGCUAUGAGAAGAGUCUUGAGAAACUGCAGAGAGCUGGCUACAUUCACUCAAUCAAUAAAGUACUGAGUGUCCAAUGUGUUAUAGGACUGAUAGCUGUUGUAGAUACAGUUAUCAGAAAAUGAUGCAGAUACUGAAUAUUGUGAUAAAGUCUGCAAUGUUCAUGAUAAUUUGAAAAUGGAAUUUAAGGAGCAAUCACAGGCUUACAGAGGGAUGAAAUGGGAAGGAGGGAGCAUGCUACCAAGAAGUCAGAAGGUCUCAGAUUUUACCCUGCUUGCAAGCAAAUGAAUUCGCCUGCCACUGUUUCGUGGAUUCUGGUAGAAGACACAAAACUCCUGUGUCAGAGAUGAUGGGCAGUUUAUUAAGCAUAGUGAUAGCAGUAGCUAGAAUACAAUUGCUAGAGGCAAUUGUGCAUCAGCCUCAAUUUUUCCCCUAAGCUUAAAAUUCCACAGAGCAGAACAAAGAGAACCAGAUGUCACCUGCACAUACAGUGGGUUGUAUUACAGAAGAGGAGCCCUGGCCUUUAGGAACCCAAAUCUUUUAUAAUGGUUAGUAGGCAUGCCUGCCCUUUGCUCCAGAAGGAGGCACCGUUUCUGUCUUCCAUGGCUGCUUGCCUCACAAACAUUGUUGAAGAGAUAAUCCAGAACAAAGUGCAGCUGAUUCCUCUCUUGCAAGAUGUGCAGAAAUGCAAGAGAACCAUGAAGGAUUGUCUCCUAACAUGUGCUUGACUGUGGAGCUGACAUCUUCAGUGAAUCUGCAGGUCUAUCUGAGACCACCUUUUUCUGCUUGACCUGGACCAGUAAACACAUAUACAGUUGGUACCGUUGGGCUAUGUGACAGCUCUUAGUCUCUGCCAGGAUAUUCCCUGAGGCUGGAACGCCUGUGAGGCUGUCUCGCUCCUCAUCCCCAGCCCGCCAACUGAUCCUUUAAGAAGAUCAAAUGUCUUCUCUUGAAAGCUUUCCUGCAGCCAGACGGCAGCACUGUUCUCCUGGAGCUCGCUCCUGGUCUGCAUUGUCCCAGCAAUCAGUGACCUGUGAAAUAGUUGAGGGCAAGGUCUAACUCUACGCUUAGCACCUGGCAUAGUCUUUGGCACAUGGUGGAUACUCAUGAAGUAUGCAUGGACUGAAUGGGGAAAUUACUCAUACAUUCAAAGCCAUUAUACAACAAUAAUGAUGUCUGAGCAGUUAAUAAUAGUAACAGCCAACAUUUGCUCUCUGCUUCAGAUACUAUUCUCAGCACCCUAUCUUCACAGUAUUAUUUAAUCUAAGCUACAGCUCUGUGAAAAAAGCAUGAUUUGUUAUUUCCAUCGACAGAUGAAAACACUGAGAACCAGAGAGGUCAAGUUAUCUGCUUGGGUU